This 293-nucleotide unclassified non-coding RNA is filed under the name uncultured Ascomycota. RNAcentral's name for it is "sequence contains ITS1". The record is from RNAcentral. Lineage: Eukaryota; Fungi; Ascomycota.
GGACUACAGGGGUUUCUAAUCCUGUUUGCUCCCCACGCUUUCGCACCUCAGCGUCAAUACUUGUCCAGCGAGUCGCCUUCGCCACUGGUGUUCUUCCGAAUAUCUACGAAUUUCACCUCUACACUCGGAAUUCCACUCGCCUCUCCAAGAUUCUAGCUUCCCAGUUUCAAGGGCAGUUCCGGGGUUGAGCCCCGGGAUUUCACCCCUGACUUAAAAAGCCGCCUACGUGCGCUUUACGCCCAGUAAUUCCGAACAACGCUAGCUCCCUCCGUAUUACCGCGGCUGCUGGCACC